AACUGAUACUACCUGCGGGAACCUGCGGAGGGAUCAUUCACAAUAAGUGUUUUAUGGCACUUUAAUUCCAUAUCCACCUUGUGUGCAACGUAGUUCGUUUUUCGAACAAAACAUCAACAUUUUAAUUAUCAACAGAUCGUCUGAAGUAUUAUAUGAAUAAAUCAAUUCAAAAUACAACUUUUAGCAACGGAUCUCU
This 196-nucleotide unclassified non-coding RNA is filed under the name soil metagenome. Its description in RNAcentral is "partial contains 5.8S ribosomal RNA, internal transcribed spacer 2, and large subunit ribosomal RNA". The record is from RNAcentral.